CACAGUUCACUGGUGGCAUGAGAUAGUAACUCUACUAGCUGCCCCAGGCUGUUUCCAAAUGUGCAUGGACCUUUUCUAAAUGGUGUUUCUAGAUUGACAUGUAAUAACAGCAAAUUGAUGGUUUUGCUCAGAUUACUACUGUAAACUGUAGGUAAGUGAUGAAAAGGAUCAGAAGGGAAUUAAUAGGCAUUUGAGAGAGAAUAAGCUGUAUGGGUACAUGAAUGAAGAAAAGGGGAGAUGGGACUGUUGGGCUGCUCUACUGAAGCUAUUAUGGGCCUGAUGGGCUGAAUGGCUUCCUGCUGUGCAUAAUAACUAAGUCAGUAAAUGUUCUUCUAAGGUAAGAGGCGAUCAGAUCAUGUCCAUGUUUCGAUCCUCCUCUUAUUCACAGGAGGAACGUACAAAGUCCAUCCAAAACAACUCCUGAGGUCAGUAUUGAACCUAGGUCACUGGCGUUGUGAUGCAGCAGCACGAACUACUGCACCACUGUGGCAGCCUGCGGAGAGAGGACAAACAACUGGACAAAGAACCAAUGUGAGCUAGUUCUUGCAAAAGAACAUAUGAGAAAUCUACCUCAAUUGCAAGUUCCAGAAGAGAAGGACAUAUGCUCAAUAGAUGGUGACUGAGAUUUCCUGCAUUGUCUAUUGGAUGAUAUGUGGCAAUGAAAGUUCUGUUAUGUGGCAAUGUGAGUUCUGCUCAAGUGGAUUCUUACUCCCUUAUGCUUUUCAGUGAAAUUUAGACAGUUAAACCUUCAAACUGCUUUUGCAGUCGAGCUGACUCUGCCCAAGUGACCUCAGCCUUAGCUUUUUUUGGAACAACUCAAGACUUCCUAACAAUCGUGGAUGAUGCAACAUUCUGUGAAACGGACCACCAAAAUGGGAACACCCUUUUAAGACUGAAAGUAAAAUAUC
Molecule: long non-coding RNA, 908 nt
Organism: Leucoraja erinaceus (little skate)
Lineage: Eukaryota; Metazoa; Chordata; Chondrichthyes; Rajiformes; Rajidae
Exons: 2
Source: RefSeq, a predicted model, not a curated record